This is a small nuclear RNA of Acomys russatus (golden spiny mouse), 103 nucleotides long. NCBI's taxonomy places the organism in Eukaryota, Metazoa, Chordata, Mammalia, Rodentia, Muridae. The record is from RefSeq and is a predicted model, not a curated record.
GUGCGCUUCAGCAGCACAUACACUAAAACUGGAACAUUACAGAAGGUUAACACGGUCUCUAAACAAGGGUGACAUGCAGAUUCAUGAAGUGCUCCAUAUUGGG